AAGACUAUACUUUAAGGGAUCAUUUCUGCAGUUUCUUACUAGAGAAGUUUCUCUGACUAUAGAGUCCUGGAAACCACAAGGAGGAGUGCCGUGUUCUCUCCUGAGCAUGAAGCUGGUCCUGGGGGUUGUUUGGUACAACUGCCCUUAGCCAUUGAUGAGUGUUCUUCUCUCCCCUGCGAGAGUUAGAGGGGCAAAUGUAGUCUGAGUGGU
This 210-nucleotide small nucleolar RNA is filed under the name Jaculus jaculus (lesser Egyptian jerboa). RNAcentral describes it as "Small nucleolar RNA U3 (ENSJJAG00000006294.1)". It matches the Rfam family "Small nucleolar RNA U3". Rfam says of the family: Small nucleolar RNAs (snoRNAs) are involved in the processing and modification of rRNA in the nucleolus. The record is from Rfam by way of RNAcentral. Lineage: Eukaryota; Metazoa; Chordata; Mammalia; Rodentia; Dipodidae.